CGGACGGGUGAGUAACGCGUGAGAACCUGCCUUCAGGAUGGGGACAACAGCCGGAAACAGCUGCUAACACCCAAUGUGCCGAGAGGUAAAAAAUUUAUUGCCUGAAGAGGGGCUCGCGUCUGAUUAGCUAGUUGGAGAGGUAAAAGCUCACCAAGGCGACGAUCAGUAGCUGGUCUGAGAGGAUGAGCAGCCACACUGGGACUGAGACACGGCCCAGACUCCUACGGGAGGCAGCAGUGGGGAAUUUUCCGCAAUGGGCGCAAGCCUGACGGAGCAAUACCGCGUGAGGGAAGAAGGUCUAAUAGAUUGUCAACCUCUUUUCUCAGGGAAGAAAAAAAUGACGGUACCUGAGGAAUAAGCAUCGGCUAACUCCGUGCCAGCAGCCGCGGUAAUACGGAGGAUGCAAGCGUUAUCCGGAAUUAUUGGGCGUAAAGCGUCCGCAGGUGGUCAAACAAGUCUGCCGUCAAAAACUAGAGCUUAACUCUGGAGAGGCGGUGGAAACUGUAAGACUAGAGACCGGUAGGGGUAGAGGGAAUUCCCAGUGUAGCGGUGAAAUGCGUAGAGAUUGGGAAGAACACCAGUGGCGAAGGCGCUCUACUGGGCCGGAACUGACACUCAGGGACGAAAGCUAGGGGAGCGAAAGGGAUUAGAUACCCCUGUAGUC
RNAcentral lists this ribosomal RNA (664 nucleotides) under uncultured bacterium. Its description in RNAcentral is "bacterial SSU rRNA". It matches the Rfam family "Bacterial small subunit ribosomal RNA", at positions 99 to 795 of the family's 1533-position model. The record is from RNAcentral.